AUUGAACGCUGGCGGCAUGCUUUACACAUGCAAGUCGAACGGCAGCGCGGGCUUCGGCCUGGCGGCGAGUGGCGAACGGGUGAGUAAUGCAUCGGAACGUGCCCAGUAGUGGGGGAUAGCCCGGCGAAAGCCGGAUUAAUACCGCAUACGACCUGAGGGUGAAAGCGGGGGACCGAAAGGCCUCGCGCUAUUGGAGCGGCCGAUGUCGGAUUAGCUAGUUGGUGGGGUAAAGGCUUACAAAGGCGACGAUCCGUAGCUGGUCUGAGAGGACGACCAGCCACACUGGGACUGAGACACGGCCCAGACUCCUACGGGAGGCAGCAGUGGGGAAUUUUGGACAAUGGGGGCAACCCUGAUCCAGCCAUGCCGCGUGCGGGAAGAAGGCCUUCGGGUUGUAAACCGCUUUUGUUCGGGAAGAAAUCCUCUGGGCUAAUACCCCGGGGGGAUGACGGUACCGGAAGAAUAAGCACCGGCUAACUACGUG
RNAcentral lists this ribosomal RNA (484 nucleotides) under uncultured bacterium. Its description in RNAcentral is "partial 16S ribosomal RNA". It matches the Rfam family "Bacterial small subunit ribosomal RNA", at positions 29 to 507 of the family's 1533-position model. The record is from RNAcentral.